Molecule: long non-coding RNA, 517 nt
Organism: Bombina bombina (fire-bellied toad)
Lineage: Eukaryota; Metazoa; Chordata; Amphibia; Anura; Bombinatoridae
Exons: 4
Source: RefSeq, a predicted model, not a curated record
UAUGGCAACAAUUUCUAUAAUCUGCAUUUUACAGAUGAAGACAUGUUUACUUUGAACAACUGCCAGCACGGAAGCUAUUACUAUGUUACAGUUAAAGGGACAUGGAACCCAAUUUUCUUUUUCUUUCAGAAUUUCAAUAGAACAUAAAAUGUUAAACAACUCUCCAAUUCAUUCUCUUGGUAUCCUUUAUUGAAGGAGAAGCAAUGCACUACUGGGAGCAAGCUGAAGACAUCGAGUGCCAUGUAUUGGAUAAAAUUGAGACAUCACUACGCCCUCUACUGGACAUCAGCUGCAAAUACCAAACAAACAACGAAACAGCUAAUUGGCGAAUAAGGAUCGAGGUUUGGAGACCUUCUAGCUGUUAGCCAGCAAUCUGGAAUAUUUGGGAAUUUCUUCUAUCUCAUCGCUAUCACACCAGUGAUUAAAAAGGAGCUGCACAAGGGAAAAAAGAGAACUGCUUCUACUUUUGGACUUUGCCACACGAGCAUUUAAAGAGACAUACACUGCAAUAAAGUAG